This 794-nucleotide long non-coding RNA is filed under the name Ananas comosus (pineapple). RNAcentral describes it as "long non-coding RNA (ACOM_LNC001148)". The record is from RNAcentral. Lineage: Eukaryota; Viridiplantae; Streptophyta; Magnoliopsida; Poales; Bromeliaceae.
CUACACAGAGAACAAGCCAAAACGCCAACAGUCGACACUGGAAUCAGCAGCAGCAGCAGAGAAGCUCGAUAAUGGAGUAGUUUGAAGUAACCGAAGGGAUUUCGGUGGCCUACUCACCUCGACAACCGCCCUGGGAGCAGCACCACGUCGAGGAUGGUAAGGGACAGCAGUCGCCCGGCCUCCUCGCAGCGUCACAAUGUUGAAAGCACCCUCGAUCCGCUCCGCGGCGCGUCGUCGACGAAGCUUGAGCUUCUCCCUUGAGCUCCUCCACCACCUCUACUCAGCCAAGGGGGAAGAGGAAGAAGCACAGCAGAGGAGGAAGAAGCCCUCCCCCCUCUCUCCUCCCUGCUCUUAAGGUAAGGGGAAAAGUGGUGACAAGACUAGAGAGGAAAAAGUCAAACAGCACCAUACCUGUCAAAGUGUACCGGUACAGCUCACUGAAAAUCUGCUAUUUCGCAGAUCUUCAAGAUACACGCUGCUCUCAAGUUCCCACAAGGCCCGUUUGGCGUCCACUUCGCGCCAACGCGACCCGGACUUGACCCGACACUCUCCAGAGCUGUCGACAAGCCUCAGCUAAAAUUUCCGGUCUCUACAUGGGGUGUGACAACUACGAAUAGUUUCCAGUGGGUUCGACCGCCGACUCCACCGAUCUACCCACUAGGUCUUAAGCAGGCAUAGAGAGAUAUAUAUAUGCAAUAUAUAUAAAGCUAAACUGAACUGAAAGCGGGUAUGUAAAACAGGUCUAUCAAGCUAUACCUCAAUCUGAUAUCAUGGAUGCAUGAACAAUAAAUAAA